This 496-nucleotide ribosomal RNA is filed under the name uncultured bacterium. RNAcentral's name for it is "partial 16S ribosomal RNA". It matches the Rfam family "Bacterial small subunit ribosomal RNA", at positions 28 to 506 of the family's 1533-position model. The record is from RNAcentral.
GAUGAACGCUGGCGGCGUGCCUAAUACAUGCAAGUCGAGCGAACAGACGAGGAGCUUGCUCCUCUGACGUUAGCGGCGGACGGGUGAGUAACACGUGGAUAACCUACCUAUAAGACUGGGAUAACUUCGGGAAACCGGAGCUAAUACCGGAUAAUAUAUUGAACCGCAUGGUUCAAUAGUGAAAGACGGUUUUGCUGUCACUUAUAGAUGGAUCCGCGCCGCAUUAGCUAGUUGGUAAGGUAACGGCUUACCAAGGCAACGAUGCGUAGCCGACCUGAGAGGGUGAUCGGCCACACUGGAACUGAGACACGGUCCAGACUCCUACGGGAGGCAGCAGUAGGGAAUCUUCCGCAAUGGGCGAAAGCCUGACGGAGCAACGCCGCGUGAGUGAUGAAGGUCUUCGGAUCGUAAAACUCUGUUUUUAGGGAAGAACAAAUGUGUAAGUAACUAUGCACGUCUUGACGGUACCUAAUCAGAAAGCCACGGCGAACUACGU